CGAAGCAACGCGAAGAACCUUACCAGGCCUUGACAUGCAGAGAACUUUCCAGAGAUGGAUUGGUGCCUUCGGGAACUCUGACACAGGUGCUGCAUGGCUGUCGUCAGCUCGUGUCGUGAGAUGUUGGGUUAAGUCCCGUAACGAGCGCAACCCUUGUCCUUAGUUACCAGCACGUUAUGGUGGGCACUCUAAGGAGACUGCCGGUGACAAACCGGAGGAAGGUGGGGAUGACGUCAAGUCAUCAUGGCCUUUAUGACCAGGGCUACACACGUACUACAAUGGCCGAUACAAAGGGCAGCGACACUGCGAGGUGAAGCCAAUCCCGUAAAAUCGGUCUCAGUCCGGAUUGGAGUCUGCAACUCGACUCCAUGAAGUUGGAAUCGCUAGUAAUCGUGGAUCAGCAUGCCACGGUGAAUACGUUCCCGGGCCUU
RNAcentral lists this ribosomal RNA (431 nucleotides) under uncultured Bacillus sp. RNAcentral's name for it is "bacterial SSU rRNA". It matches the Rfam family "Bacterial small subunit ribosomal RNA", at positions 952 to 1382 of the family's 1533-position model. Lineage: Bacteria; Bacillati; Bacillota; Bacilli; Caryophanales; Bacillaceae. The record is from RNAcentral.